CUCUUUCUCGAUUCAGUGGAUGGUGGUGCAUGGCCGUUCUUAGUUGGUGGAGYGAUCUGUCUGGUUAAUUCCGAUAACGAACGAGACUCUCCCCUGCUAACUAGUCGGUUGGAUCUUGAUCAGCGGGUUGCGUGCCGAGUAACUCUCGCUGUGCGGGUGGUGCGUCUCGGGCCUCACGGUUCGUUGCGUGCUCUCGUGUGGCGUUGGAUGCCUUGGAUCACACUGCACCCCAAGUCCGCCGCUUAUGCUAUAACUCUUCUUAGAGGGAUUCACGGCACUGAAGCCGUAAGAGACUGAGAGCAAUAACAGGUCUGUGAUGCCCUUAGAUGCUCUGGGCCGCACGCGCGCUACAAUGCCGGGCACAGCAGGUGUUUCUCCUGCUCCGACAGGAGCGGGUAACCCUCUGAAAGCCAGUGUUCUUGCAAGUGAUUCCUCCCUCGUGGAGUUUCACAGAGGCGUGCUUGGGCCUGGGACUUGCAAUUCUUUCCCACCAACGAGGAAUGCCUAGUAGCGGCGGGUCACUGAGCCCGCUGUGACUCAGUCCCUGCCCUUUGUACACACCGCCCGUCGCUACUACCGAUUGGGUGUACCAGUGAGAGCCUUGGACUGGCGUCCGUUGUUGCUCGCAAGAGUGACAAGCGGGUCCGACGGAAAGAGGUCCGAACUGGUGCACUUAGAGGAAGUAAAAGUCGUAACAAGGUUUCCGUAGGUGAACCUGCGGAAGGAUCAUUA
Molecule: ribosomal RNA, 732 nt
Filed under: Micruropus fixseni
Lineage: Eukaryota; Metazoa; Arthropoda; Malacostraca; Amphipoda; Micruropodidae
Description: bacterial SSU rRNA
Rfam family: Eukaryotic small subunit ribosomal RNA
Source: RNAcentral